RNAcentral lists this ribosomal RNA (253 nucleotides) under uncultured bacterium. RNAcentral's name for it is "partial 16S ribosomal RNA". It matches the Rfam family "Bacterial small subunit ribosomal RNA", at positions 524 to 776 of the family's 1533-position model. The record is from RNAcentral.
UACGUAGGGGGCAAGCGUUGUCCGGAUUUAUUGGGCGUAAAGAGCGUGUAGGCGGCUUUACAGGUCCGUUGUGAAAACUCGAGGCUCAACCUCGAGACGCCGGUGGAAACCGUAAGGCUAGAGUCCGGAAGAGGAGAGUGGAAUUCCUGGUGUAGCGGUGAAAUGCGCAGAUAUCAGGAAGAACACCCGUGGCGAAGGCGGCUCUCUGGGACGGUACUGACGCUGAGACGAGAAAGCGUGGGGAGCGAACAGG